CCUACGGGGGACAGCAGUGAGGAAUAUUGGUCAAUGGACGCGAGUCUGAACCAGCCAAGUCGCGUGAAGGAUGACUGCCCUAUGGGUUGUAAACUUCUUUUAUCUGGGAAUAAAAUGUUCCACGUGUGGGGUUUUGUAUGUACCAUAUGAAUAAGGAUCGGCUAACUCCGUUCCAGCAGCCGCGGUAAUACGGAGGAUCCGAGCGUUAUCCGGAUUUAUUGGGUUUAAAGGGAGCGUAGGUGGAUUGUUAAGUCAGUUGUGAAAGUUGGCGGAUCAACCGUAAAAUUGCAGUUGAAACUGGCAGUCUUGAGUACAGUAGAGGUGGGCGGAAUUCGUGGUGUAGCGGUGAAAUGCAUAGAUAUCACGAAGAACUCCGAUUGCGAAGGCAGCACACUGGACUGCAACUGACACUGAGGCUCGAAAGUGUGGGUAUCAAACAGGAUUAGAUACCCCUGUAGUC
RNAcentral lists this ribosomal RNA (460 nucleotides) under uncultured bacterium. RNAcentral describes it as "partial 16S ribosomal RNA". It matches the Rfam family "Bacterial small subunit ribosomal RNA", at positions 338 to 795 of the family's 1533-position model. The record is from RNAcentral.